AACAAAUUCAGACUGUGAAACUGCGAAUGGCUCAUUAAAUCAGUUAUAGUUUCUUUGAUGGUAUUUGCUACUCGGAUAACCGUAGUAAUUCUAGAGUUAAUACGUGUAACAAACCCCGACUUCUGGAAAGGAUGCAUUUAUUAGAUAAAAGGUUGGGGCGGGUUUUGCCCGUUGCUCUGAUGAUUCAUGAUAACUCAACGGAUCGCACGGCCUUUGUGCCGGUGAUGCAUCAUUCAAAUUUCUGCUCUAUCAACUUUUGAUGGUAGGACAGUGGCCUACUAUGGUGGUGACGAGUGACGGAGAAUUAGGGUUCGAUUCCAGAGAAGGAGCCUGAGAAACGGCUACCACAUCCAAGGAAGGCAGCAGGCGCGCAAAUUACCCAAUCUUGACACGGGGAGGUAGUGACAAUAAAUAACAAUACCGGGCUUUAUGAGUCUGGUAAUUGGAAUGAGUACAAUCUAAAUCCCUUAACGAGGAUCUAUUGGAGGGCAAGUCUGGUACCAGCAGCCACAGUAAUUCCAGCUCCAAUAGCGUAUAUUUAAGUUGUUACAGUUAAAAAGCUCGUAGUUGGACUUAUUGAUGGGUCGGCCGGUCCACCUCACGGUGAGCACCGGUCUGCUUGUCCCUACUGCCGGCGAUGCGCUCCUAGCCUUAAUUGGCCGGGUCGUUCCUCCGGCGCUGUUACU
RNAcentral lists this non-coding RNA (686 nucleotides) under Gossypium arboreum. RNAcentral's name for it is "Eukaryotic small subunit ribosomal RNA". It matches the Rfam family "Eukaryotic small subunit ribosomal RNA", at positions 68 to 756 of the family's 1831-position model. The record is from Rfam by way of RNAcentral. Lineage: Eukaryota; Viridiplantae; Streptophyta; Magnoliopsida; Malvales; Malvaceae.